CCAGGAACGUGUCUUACUUGGUAAAAUCAUGGCUAAAGGGGUUGAGUUAAUAAGUGAGGUAAUUAAUAAGGUACACCAAUGUCAGUGAGAACGUGUUGCUUUCACUGUGUGCUGCUCCUUUAAAAUAACUUGUUGUUCAUUACGGUUCAUGUUGCAGAAUGUGGCAGGGCUGCAUUCCAUUUUAUAUAAGAAAAGGAAAUGAAAAAUAAUGCUCACAAACAGUUGGAAAGCAGAUAAAUGUUAACCUACCUGGAGCUAAAUUUUUUUCUUUUCUUAAGCAAGCAGAAAUCUGUAUUGUGAGGUUGAAGAAUGGUUGAAGAAUACUAAUUUAGACUAAAAUGAGUGGGGACAGAGGCCCUGCUAUUGAACUGGAUGUUUUAAGCCUAAACAAGCCAAAUGAAUCUGCUUCACCGGGACAGAGUUAUGUGUCUUUGGGGAACGAGUCUAUGAUUCCUCAGUUAACCCUGAAAGAGAAAACAUCUCAGCACAGGUUGAUUAAUCGUGAGGACUCUGACUUCUCUCUGCCCAGCAGUUUGUCAAUGAAAAGUGAGCAGUCAAUGGGUUAUCCUCAUAGCAUCAGUGGAGGACCAGUCACUACAGAACUGAAGAACACCAAAGAAGGCAUUUGGAGGAAUGUUUGUGCUUCUUUUUAAUACAGCUAAUGUGUUCCAUGACCCAGUUUUCCUUCAUGUUUAAUUAGGUUUAUUGGUCCCAGGUGUUUCUCAUCAUCCCCUUGUCAUGUCAUGUGUAUUUAAAGUGUUUCCUGUUCUGAGUUCUGAGUAUUGAAUGUCAUCUUUCCCCGCUACAUGUGUGUUCCUGGUUCCUUGGGUGUUAAUUAAAGUCUCUUUGUUUGAAGUCUACUCCAUGUCUCCUCGUUCCUCGCUCCGUGCUCCUCACAGUAGCGGUAGCGUGACAGAAAGGAACAUGAUUUUGUAUGAAUCUGUAUGAUUUGAUUCAUAAAAAUAUGUAUGAUUAAAAAAAUAAUCUAAACCU
This is a long non-coding RNA of Cyprinus carpio (common carp), 993 nucleotides long. NCBI's taxonomy places the organism in Eukaryota, Metazoa, Chordata, Actinopteri, Cypriniformes, Cyprinidae. The record is from Ensembl.